CCUACGGGAGGCUGCAGUGGGGAAUAUUGCACAAUGGGCGCAAGCCUGAUGCAGCCAUGCCGCGUGUGUGAAGAAGGCCUUCGGGUUGUAAAGCACUUUCAGCGGGGAGGAAGGCGGUGAGGUUAAUAACCUCAUCGAUUGACGUUACCCGCAGAAGAAGCACCGGCUAACUCCGUGCCAGCAGCCGCGGUAAUACGGAGGGUGCAAGCGUUAAUCGGAAUUACUGGGCGUAAAGCGCACGCAGGCGGUCUGUCAAGCCGGAUGUGAAAUCCCCGGGCUCAACCUGGGAACUGCAUUCGAAACUGGCAGGCUAGAGUCUUGUAGAGGGGGGUAGAAUUCCAGGUGUAGCGGUGAAAUGCGUAGAGAUCUGGAGGAAUACCGGUGGCGAAGGCGGCCCCCUGGACAAAGACUGACGCUCAGGUGCGAAAGCGUGGGGAGCAAACAGGAUUAGAUACCCCAGUAGUC
RNAcentral lists this ribosomal RNA (465 nucleotides) under uncultured Klebsiella sp. RNAcentral's name for it is "bacterial SSU rRNA". It matches the Rfam family "Bacterial small subunit ribosomal RNA", at positions 338 to 795 of the family's 1533-position model. Lineage: Bacteria; Pseudomonadati; Pseudomonadota; Gammaproteobacteria; Enterobacterales; Enterobacteriaceae. The record is from RNAcentral.